Molecule: long non-coding RNA, 721 nt
Organism: Homo sapiens (human)
Lineage: Eukaryota; Metazoa; Chordata; Mammalia; Primates; Hominidae
Exons: 4
Source: RefSeq, a predicted model, not a curated record
AGGCAUCUCUACUAGAAAAUGGUUAAUGCCCCCCUCCCUUUGUACUCUCUGUGUAUGCAGCACCCAAUCUUUGGUGCCCCUCUGGGUUUCUGUCCUGUCGCCUCACUCCUGGUGAGCUUUAGGAACCAGGUCACACAUUUACAUAUUUGUCUUUGCACAAUGUCACAUGGAAAAACUCUGACAAAAUAAGUUAAACAAGUUUAACAUUGAUAAACAAUGCAACUUUUGUUUUAAUCUCUCUUUCUGACUUGGUUUCUCACAUCAUCCAUCGGGAAGUAAAAUAAGCAAGAAGUGGGGAGGAUGAGGACGGAGGAGGAAGGAACAGCUAAAGCAGACAUUUUUGUUUGGUGUUUCAUCAGAGACUCUCUCAGGAAUGGGGCCACCUCACAGAGUCACACACACAACCCUUCUUUCAGAGGUUGGAAUGCAGAAAACCCAGCAGCACCAGCUCUCUCUUCAGACAAGGAAGAAGAUAGAGACAAACAGGGAGAACAACAUGUAAUGGCAGAGGCAGAGAUUGCAUCGAUGCAGCCGCAAGCUAAUAAAUGCCGAAGACUGACAGCCACCACCAGGAGCAAGGAAGAGGAGAUUUGUACACCAAGAUUCUUCUGUGCUGUAGUCAAAAGUGAUGUGCCCUUGAAUGGACUCUGAAUGUCCUUCAACACAAUAGACAUGGCCAAGGAAAAUAAACCUGAAGAAAAGAAAUCCUGGAAAGACUGGA